CCAAUAGCGUAUAUUAAAGUUGUUGCAGUUAAAAAGCUCGUAGUUGAAUUUCGGGGUUAGUAGGUUGGUCAUGCCAUCGGUAUGUACUGGUCUCACUGAUUCCUCCUUCCUGAUGAACCGUAAUGCCAUUAAUUUGGUGUUGCGGGGAGACUGGACUGUUACUUUGAAAAAAUUAGAGUGUUUAAAGCAGGCUAACGCUUGAAUACAUUAGCAUGGAAUAAUGAAAUAGGACGUUCGAUCCUAUUUUGUUGGUUUCUAGGAUUGACGUAAUGAUUAAUAGGGAUAGUUGGGGGCAUUAGUAUUCAAUUGUCAGAGGUGAAAUUCUUGGAUUUAUUGAAGACUAACUACUGCGAAAGCAUUUGCCAAAGAUGUUUUCAUUAAUCAAGAACGAAAGUUAGGGGAUCGAAGACGAUCAGAUACCGUCGUAGUCUUAACCAUAAACUAUGCCGACUAGGGAUCGGAUGAUGUUAAUUUUUUAAUGACUCAUUCGGCGCCUUACG
Molecule: ribosomal RNA, 500 nt
Filed under: uncultured Glomeromycotina
Lineage: Eukaryota; Fungi; Glomeromycota
Description: partial small subunit ribosomal RNA
Rfam family: Eukaryotic small subunit ribosomal RNA
Source: RNAcentral